UACAGGGGGUGCAAACGUUGCUCGGAAUCAUUGGGCGUAAAGCGCACGUAGGCGGUCUGUUAUGUCGGAUGUGAAAGCCCUUGGCUUAACUGAGGAAGUGCAUCCGAAACUGGCAGGCUAGAGUACUAAAGAGGGUCGCGGAAUUCCCGGUGUAGAGGUGAAAUUCGUAGAUAUUAGGAGGAAUACCUGUGGCGAAGGCGGCCUUCUGGACCGUUCUUGACGCUGAGACGCGAAAGCGUGGGUAGCAAACAGG
Molecule: ribosomal RNA, 253 nt
Filed under: uncultured bacterium
Lineage: Bacteria
Description: partial 16S ribosomal RNA
Rfam family: Bacterial small subunit ribosomal RNA
Source: RNAcentral